This 280-nucleotide ribosomal RNA is filed under the name unidentified marine bacterioplankton. RNAcentral's name for it is "partial 16S ribosomal RNA". It matches the Rfam family "Bacterial small subunit ribosomal RNA", at positions 56 to 339 of the family's 1533-position model. The record is from RNAcentral.
UGCGAGUCGAACGGCAGCACGGGAGCUUGCUCCUGGUGGCGAGUGGCGACGGGUGAGUAACGCGUAGGGAAUCUACCCAGUAGCGGGGGGAUAGCCGGGAAACCCGGAUUAAUACCGCAUACGCCCACGGGGGAAAGCCGGGAUCUUCGGACCGGUCACUAUUGGAUGAGCCUGCGUAGGAUUAGCUAGUUGGUGAGGUAAAGGCUCACCAAGGCGACGAUCCUUAGCUGGUCUGAGAGGACGAUCAGCCACACUGGAACUGAGACACGGUCCAGACUCC